CAUGCGCAGAAGCCGUUUCUCGCGCAGCCAAGUCGGUCUACCUUGUAUCUAUAUACUUUGAGGCAGUGUAUAGAAGGCGGUGACUUAUUACAGAGUGGAAGUAUUGUUUUUCUUCUUUAGAAGAAAAAACUAGUUUUUAUAGAAAUUUAAGACAAAAUUUCUAGGCAAUCGGAGGACAAAGGAGGAAUUCCUGGAGGUCAACUAUAAUCUCCAGGAAUAGAAAUAGAAAGAAAGAAAGAAUUUCUAGGCAGACGGAAAUGGAACCAAAAUCUAAUUUCGAACGUGGACCAGAAUAUAUAUCACUAAACGAUAAUGCUGAAAAACUAAAUAAAAAACGGAAAUCUGUUAGGAACAAGCGUAAGCGGCCACAUUCAGCAAAUGUCAACACCAUGGUCAACACCACAUGUUUUCCUUGGAUUACACCUAGUACCAAAUAUAGUCCAGUUACUAUAAUUGCGUAAGUAUUUACACUUGUAGAGUAAAUGAGGUUAACUAAAUACUUCAUACUUCAGUAGUUCUUGCUUCUAUUGCAAUUAUUAUAUCACAUACCAAUCA
Molecule: long non-coding RNA, 555 nt
Filed under: Androctonus crassicauda
Lineage: Eukaryota; Metazoa; Arthropoda; Arachnida; Scorpiones; Buthidae
Source: RNAcentral